GGAGGGCUCGCAUAGUGGCCUAGUGCGACGGUCUUGAAAACCGUUAUGUCGGCAACGGCAUCGUGGGUUCGAAUCCCACGCCCUCCGCCA
This 90-nucleotide transfer RNA is filed under the name Actinomycetales bacterium. Its description in RNAcentral is "tRNA-Ser". It matches the Rfam family "tRNA". Rfam says of the family: Transfer RNA (tRNA) molecules are approximately 80 nucleotides in length. Their secondary structure includes four short double-helical elements and three loops (D, anti-codon, and T loops). Lineage: Bacteria; Bacillati; Actinomycetota; Actinomycetes; Actinomycetales. The record is from RNAcentral. RNAcentral also lists the same sequence under 1 other name.